AUUUCUAUACCGCCCUUCUCCCAAAGGACUCAGGGCGGUUUACAGCCAAAGUAAAAACAAUUAGUACUAUUAGUACUAAUUAGUACUAAUUAGUACAAUUAGUAUUUAGACUAAUCUGUGUCUUUCGAGGCACACACACGGGGAAUACAUGCGGUUGGAUUUAAAAUGUAAUUGGACUUGCUUGUCCCAGUCAUAUAUUUCCUGUAAACAUAUAGCAUACUUUUUAACAUAAACAUAAUUUUCCACUAUAAUUAUUCAUAUCCUUAGGAAUGUUCACAUCCCAGAGACAACAUUUUAAUUUCAAAAUUUGUUUUUAGUGAUUUUUUUCUGAGGCACAUCUGACUUCAAAACUAGUCAGUUCCACUGCUCCACAAGGGUGUGGUGUGAAAGCACAGGGAACACAAUCUGUCAACCUGGAAGUGAUGCUGAAGCCCUGUUUGGAAGAACCUUCCAUGAUAUUGUCAGCAAGAGAUCAGUAUAACAGAGCCCAUCCUGGGAGAGAUGUCCUAGCUAUUCUAGGUAUGGUGUAUUAUUAUAAUUAGGGAAAAAUAGUAAAAUAAGGCAGUGUAUCUAUAGACAUUUAGCAAAAACCUAUGAUACUGUCCUUGUGCUAAUUUAAAAUUAAUGGUUAUUUUUUCGAAAAGUAAAAUACAAGUUAAGCCACAUACUAUACUUCUCUGAUUUGACUAAUUCCUUCUUUACCACUAUAUUUCUGUGCCUUCCAAAUUAACUCAAUUUCUUUUCAUAGUAAACGUUGCCAAUAGCUUUGAAACAAUUCUCUGCUCCACUUCCACUAGUACAUUCUUUUGAUUUAAACCCAGCUAUAGCAUUUGUAACCAUUACUUUUAAUAUUAUGAUGGAGAUUUAUUAUAAUUCUGAAAAUAGUCUGCCCUUCUAGAGUUGUAAUUUGUGGCCUUUGGAAUGAAUGUAUUUAGUGCACCUCCACCACACUUAGAAUUUAUCAAUAAAUGCAGAUAUGCCAUGCUCAUAUAAGCAUAGAGCUGUUUUGUCUGAUCUGGAUGUUUUCCAGGUAUGUGGAUCUCAUAAUUCCCAUGCUAGAUUGACUUGAGAUUUUGGGGAUUAAUGACAUGUCUACAGGGCAUCCUCAUUGGGAAAAGUUGUAUUGUUGCCAUACAGUCCUGCAAUCUGUCCAUCCUUUUUUCAGUUUUCAGAAAUUAACUCCUGGUGCCUGUUUUCCUAUAAGGAUUGUACAUGGUAAAUAAUAUAACCAUGAAAAAUCCUACUCAGACAUUCCAUCUGAAACACUCAUGCAAUAAGUGACGCAGCUUAGCAGAUUCUGGAUUCUCACAAGAGAACGUAAGUGAGUGAGCACAUUGUACUUCAGUGGGUCACAAGACAAACAAGAGGGUUUCUAUUAAAAGACCAUUGAAUAAUAGGUCCAUGAUUCAUUCUGUGGGACAUACUCAUUCUUUUGGCACCAUCUCUGUGUUUCCUAGCUUUGUUAUGGCUCAGUAUCAAACCCGAAGUUCCCUGACUCAAAGAAGUCUCUCCCCUGGAACAUCCCCAGCAUUGUUUUACCAGCUAUUAUAUUGCAGUCAUAAUCUCUAUUGCAGCUUUUAUGUCUUCAAUAUUUUGUGUUUGACAAAAUGGACAGUUUGACUGAACAGUUUCUACUUCUGAAGCUAAACAGAUAAGAAACUAUGAUAACAACUGGAGAUAGCAGAAGAGAAGUGAAAGAGCUGAAGAAAGCAAAGAUAGUACCGACAGUAAUAGAUUUGUUGACAAAAUCCUUAUCAGUCAAUUGCAAAGGCUUGACUUGGAACAGCUUACAUCUUUUGACAAUACCUUUUAAUUUUAUAAAACAACAACAUCUGCCUAUCCUACAUCCUUGGGAGGGACUCAACAGGUGGACAAAAUGUCAGAUCUAAUCUAAACAGCUGGCUGACUGAGUGAUCAACCAAAAUAUAAAAAAUGGCAAGUGUGAUGAAGUGAGGGGUCUGCCUCUCCCUCACAAAAAGCCUGAGUAAACAGCCAAGUCUUUACUGCUUUCUGAACAACAACAGAAGAAGGCCAUCCAAAACUCAAUAGUCCAAAGAGAUGACAUUAUUUGAAGCUUCAAUCCUAGAAGAUCAAAUCAACUGAAGGCACUAUGGGAAACUGGUAGUCCCUAUGCCAUUCAGAGCAUUACAGAAAACAACCAACAUCUUGAAUCACACCUGGAAGCAAACCAGCAAUUGGCACAGCUCAUGAAGCAGCAAGGUUUAAUGGACAUACUGAAGCAUGCCCAUUGUUGCUCACAUUGCUACAAUGCUGGAUUAGGUACUCUUCAAGUACAGCCCCACAUAGCCUGUUUGCAAAUGUGCAAUUUCUUAUUUUCUCUGGGGUUUUUUCCUACUGGUUCAAUAAAAGAAAAGCUCUUAAAUGCAGUAUCUGCUAAACAAUCAGA
Ahaetulla prasina is the source of this 2407-nucleotide long non-coding RNA. RefSeq lists it as uncharacterized. Lineage: Eukaryota; Metazoa; Chordata; Lepidosauria; Squamata; Colubridae. The record is from RefSeq and is a predicted model, not a curated record. The transcript has 2 exons.